UACGGAGGGUGCAAGCGUUGCUCGGAAUUAUUGGGCGUAAAGGGUAGGUAGGUGGUCUCAUUUGUCUGGGGUGAAAGCCUUGAGCUUAACUCAAGAAGUGCCUCGGAAACGGUGAGACUGGAGUCCUGGAGAGGGUCGUGGAAUUCCCGGUGUAGCGGUGAAAUGCGUAGAGAUCGGGAGGAACACCAGAGGCGAAGGCGGCGACCUGGACAGGCACUGACACUCAACUACGAAAGCGUGGGGAGCAAACAGG
Molecule: ribosomal RNA, 253 nt
Filed under: uncultured bacterium
Lineage: Bacteria
Description: partial 16S ribosomal RNA
Rfam family: Bacterial small subunit ribosomal RNA
Source: RNAcentral